This 835-nucleotide non-coding RNA is filed under the name Metopograpsus frontalis. Lineage: Eukaryota; Metazoa; Arthropoda; Malacostraca; Decapoda; Grapsidae. The record is from RNAcentral.
UGAAUGUUUGAUUUUGGCUUAAUUGUUUUGUGGUCUUAUUAAGUUUGCAUGAAAGUCAUUAGCUAGGAGUAUUUGUCGUUUUGUAGUUAUGCAAUUUGGCGUAAUUAUUUCUUGUUCUUGUUAUCUCAGCAUAAAAUAUUAAUAUUGCAUAAAAAUGUGAGUUAGUAGUAAGAAUGAAGCUUAUUAAUAGUUAAAUAGUCUGAUAAACAUUUGUGCCAGCAUUCGCGGUUAUACUUUGAGGCUAAACGAAAUAUAUUAGAGUUAGUUAGGUGAAAAGGAUGUAAAUAAAUUAUUAGUAGUAAAAGGUGAAAUUAGAUUGUUAUUAAAUAAUUAAAAUAUAUCAAAACUGAAGCUAAAAAAGUUUGAUUAAAGACUAGGAUUAGAUACCCUAUUAUUUUAAAUUUAAAUAUUAAUAAACUCUAGAUAAGUAGUAGAUAGGUACUUAAAAAUUAAAAAAUUUGGCGGUGAUUUAAUCUUUUCAGAGGAACUUGUUUUUUAAUCGAUAAACCACGUUUAAUCUUACUUAUUUUGGUAUAAACAGUAUGUAUACCAUCAUUAACAGGUAAUUUUAAAAGAAAAAAUUACUAAAAAUAAUUAAUUAAAAAAAUUAGAUCAUGGUGCAGCUUAUAAAUAAGGUAAAAUGAAGUUACAAUAAAAGUUUUUUAUUAUGAAUUAGUAAAGGAAGAGUUUACUAUAAAGGUGGAUUUGAUUGUAAAUGUGGAUUAAUAAGCUUAUUUGAUAUUGGUGCUAAAUCAUGUACAUAUCGCCCGUCGCUUUCGCUAACCGAAAUAAGUCGUAACAUAGUAGAUGUACCGGAAGGUGCAUCUAGAAGUAG